ACGGGAGGCAGCAGUGGGGAAUUUUGGACAAUGGGGGCAACCCUGAUCCAGCAAUGCCGCGUGAGUGAAGAAGGCCUUCGGGUUGUAAAGCUCUUUUGUCAGGGAAGAAACGGUGAUCUCUAAUAUAGAUUGCUAAUGACGGUACCUGAAGAAUAAGCACCGGCUAACUACGUGCCAGCAGCCGCGGUAAUACGUAGGGUGCAAGCGUUAAUCGGAAUUACUGGGCGUAAAGCGUGCGCAGGCGGUUAUAUAAGUCAGAUGUGAAAUCCCCGGGCUCAACCUGGGAACUGCAUUUGAGACUGUAUGGCUAGAGUGUGUCAGAGGGGGGUAGAAUUCCACGUGUAGCAGUGAAAUGCGUAGAUAUGUGGAGGAAUACCGAUGGCGAAGGCAGCCCCCUGGGAUAACACUGACGCUCAUGCACGAAAGCGUGGGGAGCAAACAGGAUUAGAUACCCUGGUAGUCCACGCCCUAAACGAUGUCUACUAGUUGUUGGGUCUUAAUUGACUUAGUAACGCAGCUAACGCGUGAAGUAGACCGCCUGGGGAGUACGGUCGCAAGAUUAAAACUCAAAGGAAUUGACGGG
RNAcentral lists this ribosomal RNA (583 nucleotides) under uncultured bacterium. RNAcentral's name for it is "bacterial SSU rRNA". It matches the Rfam family "Bacterial small subunit ribosomal RNA", at positions 341 to 917 of the family's 1533-position model. The record is from RNAcentral.